Oxyura jamaicensis (ruddy duck) is the source of this 2115-nucleotide long non-coding RNA. RefSeq lists it as uncharacterized. NCBI's taxonomy places the organism in Eukaryota, Metazoa, Chordata, Aves, Anseriformes, Anatidae. The record is from RefSeq and is a predicted model, not a curated record. The transcript has 2 exons.
UUCACUAAGGAAAACCUGUGUUUUGUGAGGGGCUGAGGAAUCACACUGCUGUAGCCUGAGCAGGAACAGAACUGCUCACUUCCAGAGUGUGGAACAAUAGUUUUGCUCACGUGAGAAAGGUCAGAAACAUCUGAGAACUGCAGAGGAAUUUCACCAGGGGCUGAAGAUGACAGAAAUAAAAUAAUUAUUAUAAAUGUCCCUUGGGGGGAUCUUGGUACCGCCAUUAACUACUACUGUGUUCAUCAGCAGCUGCAGAUCACACUAGGAGCAAUGGGGAUCGUUCUGUUGUGCAACCUACAUAUUCCUGAGUUUGACAUGAGGCUUAACUCUUUGCAGCAGCUAUCCUGAGACCUUCUAGUGUACUUAGUGCUGCUUCCUGGAGCCCUGGGACUUUCUGUCAGGUCUGGGACCUGAGGCCAGGCAGGUCUCCCAGCCAUGUAGCUUGAUGUCCACAUGUGUUAGUAUUAAUUUUUUUCUUUCACUUAACAAGCACUUAGGUGGCUCAGGCACGAGACAAGUUUACCAUGGCUUAAUGGUACCAGCUGAACUGUGGUGUCUGAGUAUUUCCUGAAGAAGUCAUCUUAAUGCCCUUAGGUGUUGAUAUUUAUUUUUACUGGGGACCAAUGUUUCAGAACUAUGCUUGAAGGCACAAAAAAAGAUCUGAAGGAACACUAAUCUUUGUCCUGAAGCAGAAGAAAAACCGUAAAUACGGAACUAGAGAUAGAUGAAUAUUGAACCACUGAGGAAUGACCAGUAUAAAUGGCAGCAUGGCUGGCACAGAAGAAGGAUGUUAGCUGUAGUAGCACUGCUAGUCUUGUUCUGUUCAUUUGUACAAGGGCAAUGACAUCUGCUAUCACUGUGUUACCCUCAGAAAAAGAGGCAAGUGGCAUGGCUUUUCAGAACGACCAAGCAGCCGUACCUUCCGAUCAAUGAAAAUGAUGCCAGGAAAGAAUUUGAACAUCUACAUGUAAUAAACUGUCAAAAACAUCAGGAAACCAUGCAUUUUCCAUGAGGUUCUUACUACUUCUAUUUCUGAUCCUGGUCUUGAAACAUAAAGACAAAACCAGGCCAACUUCCAGCCUUUUUCACUGGUGCCUUGAUGCUCUGGGACUGUGCCAAGCUCCAGAAGCUCAGAGGCAGGCAGAAAUGUAAUGCUGAGUAUAUGCCAGAGGCUUCAGGCACUAUUAGAUUAGUUUGAGCACUAGGAAAGGGGAAAAGUUCUGUCAAAGUGAAACGGAGCAUCCUUUUCCCUGGGAUAUGUCAUAUCCUGACAGUCCCUCAAUUAAUGGUAUGUUCCCAUCAGGGAGCCACCACAGGAAUGUGGCUCCUGGAAAGACUCAGAUACCAGUUUCUAGCUGUUGGGAGCUGAGAAGGUGCUCUUGUCUGGACAGACUGGUAUGAAGUGGAGACUGUCUCCUAAUGAAGAGGUUUAAGAGUUUUCUAAUGAAAGUAUUCCUGUAAGGAGAAGUGUCCUGUGGUUAUUCACAACUAGGAAAUAUUUUAUGGCUCGUGAACUUCUUGGGAAUGACACGUUUUUCAGGUGGUCUGACUGUCAGAUGCCUGAUUUUGAUGGAUGAUGCUAAGCAUGGACAUAAUCACCAUCUUGGUCUCAGAACCAGCCUGUAAGAUAUGUUAAGAUUUUCCAAAUGUUUCUCCAACAAUAAAAGGAAAUGUAAAGUUAAUCAAAUUGUCAUGAGAGAUCAGAGCCCAGCAAGGAGGGACUAAGACUGACAUUUGAAGUAGAAGCACUAAUAAAACAGACGGCUGCUCGCUGAUCCUGUCCGUGCUUGUGUUUAAUUUAAACAAGUUAACGAUGAAUGGAGUUUGCAGAGGAGGGGCAGGGGUGCUGUCGAAAUCGAUGUAUGUACCAGCCAUUUAAAGAAAGCAGAGAAGUGGUAAAUCUCUAGCUGCAUGCGAAUAUCGUGCCUCAGCAGAGAGGCUCUGUGAGCAUCUCUGUUGGCAUGUUUGGAGCAGGAGGCCAUCCUGCGGCUCCUUGCUGCCCAGAUAGAAGCUGGAUAAAGUAAAUCCCUGGUGCUUGAAAUCUUUAGAUUGAUGCGCUACAUUGUGCUCAGCAAAAUUAAUUCCAGUACCUCAACACCAUCGAGACAGAUUUCA